This 2678-nucleotide ribosomal RNA is filed under the name Candidatus Procabacter acanthamoebae. RNAcentral describes it as "bacterial LSU rRNA". It matches the Rfam family "Bacterial large subunit ribosomal RNA", at positions 113 to 2695 of the family's 2925-position model. The record is from RNAcentral. Lineage: Bacteria; Pseudomonadati; Pseudomonadota; Betaproteobacteria; Candidatus Procabacteriales; Candidatus Procabacteriaceae.
UCCGAAUGGGGCAACCCACCCGUAGUAGGAUCGUUAUCUGAACACAUAGGAUAACGAGGCGAACUCAGGGAACUGAAACAUCUAAGUACCUGAAGGAAAAGAAAUCAACCGAGAUUCCGUAAGUAGUGGCGAGCGAACCGGAGGAGCCGGUAUACGAUAGCACACGUGUUAGGAGAAUGACCUGGAAAGGUGAGCGAUAAAGGGUGAUAGCCCCGUAUCCGAAAGCAGGUGUGUGGUACUAAGUAUACGACAAGUAGGGCGGGGCACGAGAAACCCUGUCUGAAUAUGGGGGGACCAUCCUCCAAGGCUAAAUACUCGUGAUCGACCGAUAGUGAACCAGUACCGUGAGGAAAGGCGAAAAGAACCCCGGGAGGGGAGGUGAAAUAGAUUCUGAAACCGGAUGCAUACAAACAGUGGGAGCUCCUCCUCCAAGCGCUUUCGUGCGGAAGAGGAGCAGGCUUUAGGGUUCGGGGUACGGGAUUGGGAAAGAGCUUAGUGCGCUAUCGACGUUUUUACUGAAACCUGGCCCCUGAAACCUGGACCCUGCUCCUCCAAAGCAGAGUUUUUGGAGGAGGAGUGACUGCGUACCUUUUGUAUAAUGGGUCAGCGACUUACAUUCAGUUGCAAGCUUAACCGAGUAGGGGAGGCGUAGGGAAACCGAGUCUGAAUAGGGCGACAAGUAGCUGGGUGUAGACCGAAACCGGAUGAUCUAUCCAUGGCCAGGUUGAAGGUGCGGUAACACGCCCUGGAGGACCGAACCCACUAAUGUUGCAAAAUUAGGGGAUGAGCUGUGGAUAGGGGUGAAAGGCUAAACAAAUCCGGAAAUAGCUGGUUCUCUCCGAAAACUAUUUAGGUAGUGCCUCAUGAAUCACUCUUGGGGGUAAAGCACUGUUAUGGCUAGGGGGUCAUCGCGAUUUACCAAACCAUUGCAAACUCAGAAUACCAAGAAGUGCCAUCAUGGGAGACAGACAUCGGGUGCUAACGUCCGGUGUCAAGAGGGAAACAACCCAGACCGCCAGCUAAGGUCCCCAAUGAUAAGCUAAGUGGAAAACGAAGUAGGAAGGCAUAGACAGCCAGGAGGUUGGCUUAGAAGCAGCCACCCUUUAAAGAAAGCGUAAUAGCUCACUGGUCAAGUCGUCUUGCGCGGAAGAUGUAACGGGGCUCAAGCUUAUAACCGAAGCUGCGGAUGCAUAGUGAUAUGCAUGGUAGGAGAGCGUUCUGUAGGCCGUUGAAGGUGUUCUGGAAGGGAUGCUGGAGGUAUCAGAAGUGCGAAUGCUGACAUGAGUAGCGAUAAAGCGGGUGAAAAGCCCCGUCGCCGAAAACCCAAGGUUUCCUGCACAACGUUCAUCGGUGCAGGGUUAGUCGGCCCCUAAGGCGAGGCAGAGAUGCGUAGUCGAUGGGAAACUAGUUAAUAUUCUAGUACCUUUAUUAAAUGCGAUGGGGGGACGGAGAAGGUUAGCUCAGCCAUCUGUUGGAAUAGGUGGUUUAAGUGAGUAGGUGGAGUGCUUAGGCAAAUCCGGGCGCUUAACACUGAGACAUGAUGACGAGCAUCCACGUGAUGCGAAGUGAGUGGUACUCGGCUUCCAGGAAAAGCCUCUAAGCUUCAGUUUAAUAAGGACCGUACCGCAAACCGACACAGGUGGGUAGGAUGAGAAUUCUAAGGCGCUUGAGAGAACUCAGGAGAAGGAACUCGGCAAAUUAACACCGUAACUUCGGGAGAAGGCGUGCCCAGAGAAUGUGAAGGGCCUAGCGUCUGGAGCAGUAAUGGGUUGCAGUGAAAAGGUGGCUGCGACUGUUUAUUAAAAACACAGCACUGUGCAAACACGAAAGUGGACGUAUACGGUGUGACGCCUGCCCGGUGCUGGAAGGUUAAGUGAUGUGGUGAGAGCUAUUGAUCGAAGCCCCAGUAAACGGCGGCCGUAACUAUAACGGUCCUAAGGUAGCGAAAUUCCUUGUCGGGUAAGUUCCGACCCGCACGAAUGGCGUAACGAUGGCCACACUGUCUCCUCCUGAGACUCAGCGAAGUUGAAAUGUUUGUGAAGAUGCAAUCUCCCCGCUGCUAGACGGAAAGACCCCGUGCACCUUUACUGUAGCUUUGCAUUGGACUUUGAACAGACUUGUGUAGGAUAGGUGGGAGGCUUUGAAGGAGGGACGCUAGUUUCACUGGAGCCGCUGUUGAAAUACCACCCUGGUGUGUUUGAGGUUCUAACCUAGUGCCGAAACGGGACUGGGGACCGUGCAUGGUAGGCAGUUUGACUGGGGCGGUCUCCUUCCAAAGAGUAACGGAGGAGCUCGAAGGUUCUCUAGGUACGGUCGGAAAUCGUACUGAUAGUGCAAUGGCAUAAGAGAGCUUGACUGCGAGACGGACAAGUCGAGCAGGUGCGAAAGCAGGACAUAGUGAUCCGGUGGUUCUGAAUGGAAGGGCCAUCGCUCAACGGAUAAAAGGUACGCCGGGGAUAACAGGCUGAUUCCUCCCAAGAGUUCACAUCGACGGGGGAGUUUGGCACCUCAAUGUCGGCUCAUCACAUCCUGGGGCUGUAGCCGGUCCCAAGGGUAUGGCUGUUCGCCAUUUAAAGUGGUACGUGAGCUGGGUUUAAAACGUCGUGAGACAGUUUGGUUCCUAUCUGCAGUGGGCGUUGGAAGUUUGAAGGGAGCUGCUCCUAGUACGAGAGGACCGG